Molecule: ribosomal RNA, 259 nt
Filed under: uncultured bacterium
Lineage: Bacteria
Description: partial 16S ribosomal RNA
Rfam family: Bacterial small subunit ribosomal RNA
Source: RNAcentral
UACGAAGGGGGCUAGCGUUGUUCGGAAUUACUGGGCGUAAAGCGCGCGUAGGCGGUGAUCUUUGUCAGAGGUGAAAGCCCGGGGCUCAACUCCGGAAUUGCCUUUGAAACGGGAUUGCUAGAGUCCGAGAGAGGAUGGCGGAAUUCCUAGUGUAGAGGUGAAAUUCGUAGAUAUUAGGAAGAACACCGGUGGCGAAGGCGGCCAUCUGGCUCGGUACUGACGCUCAGGCGCGAAAGCGUGGGGAGCAAACAGGGAUUAA